Molecule: ribosomal RNA, 254 nt
Filed under: uncultured bacterium
Lineage: Bacteria
Description: partial 16S ribosomal RNA
Rfam family: Bacterial small subunit ribosomal RNA
Source: RNAcentral
CUUUCUUUGCUGGCGACCGGCGCACGGGUGAGUAACACGUAUCCAACCUGCCCUUUACUCGGGGAUAGCCUUUCGAAAGAAAGAUUAAUACCCGAUAGCAUAAUGAUUCCGCAUGGUUUCAUUAUUAAAGGAUUCCGGUAAAGGAUGGGGAUGCGUUCCAUUAGGCUGUUGGUGAGGUAACGGCCCACCAAGCCUUCGAUGGGUAGGGGUUCUGAGAGGAAGGUCCCCCACAUUGGAACUGAGACACGGUCCAA